Molecule: ribosomal RNA, 493 nt
Filed under: uncultured bacterium
Lineage: Bacteria
Description: bacterial SSU rRNA
Rfam family: Bacterial small subunit ribosomal RNA
Source: RNAcentral
AGUUUGAUCCUGGCUCAGAUUGAACGCUGGCGGAAUGCUUUACACAUGCAAGUCGAACGGUAGAGGGGGCAACCCCUUGAGAGUGGCGAACGGGUGAGUAAUAUAUCGGAACGUGCCCAGUCGUGGGGGAUAACGUAGCGAAAGUUACGCUAAUACCGCAUACGAUCUACGGAUGAAAGCGGGGGAUCGCAAGACCUCGCGCGAUUGGAGCGGCCGAUAUCAGAUUAGGUAGUUGGUGGGGUAAAGGCUCACCAAGCCAACGAUCUGUAGCUGGUCUGAGAGGACGACCAGCCACACUGGAACUGAGACACGGUCCAGACUCCUACGGGAGGCAGCAGUGGGGAAUUUUGGACAAUGGACGCAAGCCUGAUCCAGCCAUGCCGCGUGCAGGAUGACGGUCCUAUGGAUUGUAAACUGCUUUUGUACAGGAAGAAACCCUUUCACGUGUGGAAGAUUGACGGUACUGUAAGAAUAAGGAUCGGCUAACUCCGUG